UACGGAGGGUGCAAGCGUUACUCGGAAUUACUGGGCGUAAAGCGUGCGCAGGCGGUUAUAUAAGACAGUUGUGAAAUCCCCGGGCUCAACCUGGGAACUGCAUCUGUGACUGUAUAGCUAGAGUACGGUAGAGGGGGAUGGAAUUCCGCGUGUAGCAGUGAAAUGCGUAGAUAUGCGGAGGAACACCGAUGGCGAAGGCAAUCCCCUGGACCUGUACUGACGCUCAUGCACGAAAGCGUGGGGAGCAAACAGG
RNAcentral lists this ribosomal RNA (253 nucleotides) under uncultured bacterium. RNAcentral's name for it is "partial 16S ribosomal RNA". It matches the Rfam family "Bacterial small subunit ribosomal RNA", at positions 524 to 776 of the family's 1533-position model. The record is from RNAcentral.